UGGGUGACCUGCCCUCAGCUCUGGGAUAAGCCUGGGAAACUGGGUCUAAUACUGGAUAUUCACUUCCUAUCGCAUGGUGGGUGGUGGAAAGUUUUUCGGCUGGGGAUGGGCCCGCGGCCUAUCAGCUUGUUGGUGGGGUGAUGGCCCACCAAGGCGACGACGGGUAGCCGGCCUGAGAGGGCGUCCGGCCACACUGGGACUGAGACACCGGCCCAGACCUCCGUACGGGAG
Molecule: ribosomal RNA, 231 nt
Filed under: uncultured bacterium
Lineage: Bacteria
Description: partial 16S ribosomal RNA
Rfam family: Bacterial small subunit ribosomal RNA
Source: RNAcentral